RNAcentral lists this long non-coding RNA (1413 nucleotides) under Pelusios castaneus (West African mud turtle). Its description in RNAcentral is "lncRNA (ENSPCEG00000017000.1)". Lineage: Eukaryota; Metazoa; Chordata; Testudines; Pelomedusidae. The record is from RNAcentral.
CCCACGCCAGGCCUUGGAGAGAAGGAAGGUGCAGCGCACCCAGAGCGUGCCGGCCCAGAGCAAAGCGGGGCGCCGGCUGCAGAAGCAGAGCAGCAUGGAGCAUGUGGUCGAGUCCCCGGGAGAGGACAGCAACAGUGGGAGUCCUCGCCCAUCCGCCUCCCGCCCACGGGACGGCCGAGCCCACCCGGGGCGAUCCAAUCUCCGCCAAUCCGCAUCGCUGCCCCGGAAAUCCACGGUGCCUUGGCAGCGCCAUGCUGAGGAGGCGGCCAAGGCACAGACAGAGCUGUACGCCAUACGGCCGCUGGAGAAGCAUGGAAAGCAGAUUGAGGAGCUGAGGAAGGAGCUGGUGGAGGCCAGGGAGAAGCAAAGGCUCUUUGAGAACCAGCUGGAAGUGCUGGUCACCCAGAACCAGGCGUUGCUGGAGGAGCAGGCCAAGCGCCAGGGGCAGGAGGAGAGACUCCAGAGACAGCUGGAAGAGCUGGAAACCCACCUGGCAAACCUCAGUGCCAGGGUGACGGCGGCAGAGGGCGGCCGGAGGAAGGAGCAGGAGAAGCUGAAGGCCAGCGAGGAGAGGGUGAAGCGUCUGGAGCGCCGCCUCUCGGCCCUGGAGAGAGAACAUGCUGAGCUGCUCUGCGCCAUCAGCCAGCGCCGGGGACACCAGGACAAGCCACCCAACUCACUGCUGAGGCCAGGGCCCCUGAUUGGGGCCGAGGACUGGCAGGAAGUAUAGCCAGCAGCCCGGGGCGCCCCGAUGACCUGCCCCAGCAACUGCCACUCGCUUUGGACGCCCUGAACAGCUUGGAGGACUGCAGCCCGGCCUUGUCUCUAGAAAUGUCACCCACCCAAGCCCCGCUGCCCUUUCCUGGUACGCAUCUAGCCCAGGAGGGUCCCAAGCCUGAUGUAGCUCCAGAAAAUAGAGCCCAAGGCAGCUGUGAGCUGCUGGUGCGAAUCUUUCGCAGGCACUCUCCGCUCCCCCACGGUGGUUGAGAGUGAACUGGUGUGUAACAGGCCCAUCCAGCCAUGCUCUCAGCCCCACUGGGGUUUCCCUCCUUAGCCCCGUGUCAAAGGGCACCAUCCCUCACGCUUCCUCCCAAACCUGCCCCUCACAGGCCUGAUGCAGCGUACCCGGGCUGCCUUUCCAGCCAUGGAUCAUUGCCCCAGCGUGCCCAGGCCUCCACAGGCUCUUGCAGGUGCGUAGCACCAGAGCCACUGUGGGGCUGAGGAAAAUGACCCCAGCCCCGAUCCAGACCUCAUCUGGGUCUUGGGGGGGUUCUGGGCUGUGCCGCCCCAGGCAGUGAGCUGCGUCUCCUGGUCUUUGCAUUGGCCACGACGGCCUGAAGAGCCGGAAAUUCAGCGGCUGCUUUGGCAAACCCUCCUGCAUUUCCACAGGCCCCUUGCAGCCCAGCAAUAAAC